Molecule: non-coding RNA, 2594 nt
Organism: Theobroma cacao (cacao)
Lineage: Eukaryota; Viridiplantae; Streptophyta; Magnoliopsida; Malvales; Malvaceae
Source: RefSeq, a predicted model, not a curated record
CAAAACUCAGCAGACAUGUCAACAACAUCAACAACAACAAACCACCACUUCCCCCAAAAGCUUUGAUUAGUUCUCUUUUUUCCCAUGUACACUUCACGAUUUUGUGAUAAUAUUUUGUAAAAAAGUGUGUUGUUUCUGUCUGGGCCUAAACUUUCUGGUGGAAGUCCUUUUUGGGGUUUAAAAUUUUUUUGCUUAUAUUAGACCGAAGUAAGAAUUAAAUCUCUCCUAGAGAAGAGAAAGAGAGAGAAGUAGUUUGUUGAGCUCUCAUUUUCUACUGUUUGAUCCCUUUGUUUGGUUUGUUUGUUAGUUCCCAUAUGAUUGACUCUACUUGAAGCAAUCUCUCAUUCCCUUUCUCCCUAAUGGGCAGUGGGUUUGCAUCAUUUUCUUGUAUCUAUCUUCUAAAUCAGCUUGUAAACAUUUUUGCUUUCUUGGAGGGGACCUGGAGUUAAAAGUCUUCCCUCUUUUUUUUUUUUUUUUAAGUUAGUGCUAUUUGUGAAAUGGGAUGCUGGGGUUUUGAUAUGGUCACCAGGGAAUAUUUGGGUUCUUUGUGGUUUUCAAGGAGGAGGGGAUUAGGGUUUGUGUUUAGGGUUGUGUUUGGAUUAUGGUUUGGUUUUGUGCUGUUAAAGCCAGUGGCUGGAUUGAGACCAAUAAGAGAGAGGGCUCGGUCAUGGGGCGAUGAGUGGCUAUUUGUUAGAAAAGAUGAAAGUGAAUUGGGUCCUUUUCAUGCAUGGAAUAUAACUGGAACUUACCGAGGGACUUGGAAAUUUUUGGAGUCUACAAAUAGCUCUUCCAAAUUUCCUGAUUUCCGGAAAUUGGCUGGUGAUUCAGUUAUUGAAUUAGUUAGCACACCAACAAAAAUAACUGGUGUACAUUAUAUUCAGGGUGUAAUUAUUUUCCAUGAUGUGUUUGAUAAUGAACACAAUGUCGGUGGUGCUCAAAUAAGAGUAGAGGGUGUAUAUAUAUGGCCUUUCAGACAGCUUCGAAUGGUAGCUAACAGUGGAAAGGAGGGAGAGUUGAGCCAGGAAGAAGAUUAUAUUCUGUCCAAUCCAUAUCAUUUGCUUGGAGUUUUCUCAUCACAAGUGUUCCAAGAAUCUCCACGAGACAAAAUAUGGAGAAGAAAAAAUUCACCAGUUUAUGAGAUGGAGAAACAUUGCAAUAUAGAAAUUGCAGCCCAGAUUUCGCGCACCUCAUCCACCCAAAAUGAUGGAGAUCGUGAUCGUUAUCACAUUGAAGGACUGAUGGAGAGUCCUGCAGUGGAUGAUGAUGGAGAUUGUUUCUCACCUUUAUUGUUAAAUGCCACUUCUGUCAACGUUGAAGUCUAUUACAACAAAGCAGUCAACUACACCUUAAUGGUCACCUUUGUCUCUUUCAUUCAAGUCCUUUUGUUAAUUCGACAAAUGGAACACAGCAACACUCAAUCAGGAGCUGCAAAAGUUUCAAUUUUGAUGAUUGGCCAACAGGCUAUCAUGGAUGCUUAUCUUUGCCUCUUACAUCUCACUGCAGGAAUACUGGUUGAAUCCUUAUUUAAUGCUUUUGCAACGGCGGCAUUCUUCAAGUUUGUAGUCUUCUCCAUUUUUGAGAUGAGGUACCUUCUCGCAAUAUGGAAGGCAAGUAGACCUAUGAAUAAUAGUGAAGGCUGGGAGACAAUGAGGCGUGAGCUAUCAGUUCUGUAUAGCCGAUUCUAUGGGAUCCUAUUAGGAGGCAUUUUGGUCAUGUACGAGUUUCAUAACUUUUUGCGGCCAAUACUUCUUCUUUUGUACUCCUUCUGGAUACCCCAAAUUAUCACCAAUGUUAUUCGUGAUUCAAGAAAACCUUUGCAUCCUCAUUACAUCUUAGGGAUGACUAUUACUCGACUAGCAAUCCCGUUAUACAUAUUUGGAUGCCCUCACAACUUUAUGAGAAUCGAGCCUGACAAGAGCUGGUGUAUCUGUUUGGGUGUAUUCAUUGGACUUCAAGCAUCUCUUCUUCUUCUUCAGCACUAUCUUGGAUCUCGAUGGUUUAUUCCUCGUCAGAUCCUACCUGAGAAAUAUAGCUACUACAGAAGAUUUGAUCCAGAUACAAAUCAUGCCACAGACUGUGUCAUUUGUAUGACUGCCAUUGAUCUCACACAGCAUUCAAGUGAUUGCAUGGUAACGCCAUGCGAUCAUUUUUUUCAUUCGGGUUGUUUGCAAAGGUGGAUGGACAUAAAGAUGGAAUGCCCAACUUGCCGGCGUUCACUACCACCAGCUUAAAGAAAAUUUUCCACUGUCUAUAUAACAUAGGAUCCAUUGAUGAGCCCAACUUAUUCAUUGCGGUGGGAGAAAGAUUUCAGAACCCACUUUUUGCCCGGGUCCAUGUUUAGGAGAUGACUGAGAUACAGCACAAGCAAUUUAAAACUUGUUACUACUGACACUGCAACGAUUUGUAGGCAACAUUCUUGUAUUCAUUGUAUAAUUGUAUAAAUUUGAUACACUUAGAUAUUUCAUACCAAGUACAAAUUGCCUCACCAAAAAAAAAAAAAAAAGUGCAAAUUGUUUACAAUCACAUCCUUGGCUCCCAUGUUUUUUGUGUUUUUAAACUCCUUUCAAAGAUAAAUAGCAAGUGCAUUACAGAAA